This 2030-nucleotide long non-coding RNA is filed under the name Olea europaea subsp. europaea. Lineage: Eukaryota; Viridiplantae; Streptophyta; Magnoliopsida; Lamiales; Oleaceae. The record is from RNAcentral.
CUUUUGUCUAAUUUUAUUGUAUUUAUCGCAUACAUUUGUAAUUAUAAUUGUUUGAGAAAUAUAAAUAAAAGAUCAAUAUGGCAAAUGAAGUAUAUUGAUGAUAGUUUGAUUUUAGCUAUAUUUACUUGCAUCUAACGAAAUAUAUUUACGAAAUUUUUAAUUUCAUAAUGCUGUUUUAGUAAUUGGACAUUUGUACAUGGAGAUAUAAAUAAUACCUUAAGUAUUGUUGUAUCAUAAUAGUGGUAUACAUGUGGUCUACGAAUUCAAUUUUUACGAGAUAUCGGAUCUAAAAUGUGAUGAUAUUUUUAAUUUAUUUCGUGAAUUAUAACUAUAGAUUUCGGAUUUUUUUGUUGGCUGUAGGGAUGGAGGGAGUUGUAUAUAAGUAAGCACAACGAGAUAGUUGCAAAGGCAUAUUUGGUAAUGAAUAAUGUAGAAAACGCUUUAGCUUAUCAGUCAGUUAAAGUAGGGAAUUAUUUGAAACUGGUUGAAUUCAUGAAGUUGAGGCAAUUUGGAUUCAAAGAUGUACAAGUGUUCUUUGUCAAACCAAAGCUCAAUUUGGUUGGCUUGCACUGCUAAAUCAUAUAGCUUCACCUGCUGGUUAUUUGGUUGGGCUUUUCCUUUAAUGAAGUAUUCACAAAUUGCAUAACUGGGAUGAUGUCUUGAGCUUUUGGCAGUCUUUUUGACAGUGAGUUUUAUGCAUGCAGAUGGUGUACUAUGGUGUGCGUAGAUGGUUCCGUGCUGCAAAUCUUUAACUGCAUAAAGCAGCAUAGCUUGCAAGGAUUCAAUGACUUCCGACGAAAACCUACAGCAACAGCUUGGAAGAGCGUAGGCUAUUAUGCAGCAUACGCAGCUACACAUAAGCUUCGGUUACCUGGAAAAGGGUCGAGGGUCCAAUAGCUUCUGCUAGAAUUUGGCCUAUAUACAAGGUACUAAGGUUUGCCGAUCUCCCUUUCUGUCUGCAUGCAUCAAUCUUCAGGAGUAAAAUGCUUGACUAGGCCAUUAUUUAAGUGGAUUUUGUAGUGUCAGGACUUACAUUAGGACUGCAGUUAACUUCGUGCUUACAUCGGUUUUCAUUAAAAUAUGCAUUUUCACUUACUCAUUGCAGGCAAAUGUUGUUGCAUGAUAUGCAGUAACAUUGAUUACAUAUCUUGUGUUUGAUAGUAAGAUUUUUUUUAACAAAAUUUGCUCAAAUUGGCAUGUACACUCUGCUUGAUAUUGCUGGCUUUUUUUAUUUUGGAGUUAAUUUGAAGGUAUGGAGUAUGAUGACUAAAAUUGUUAGCCCUUACUUGAAUCCAGUUCUUUAAUAUUCAUUUUUCUCAAACUUAUUUUAAGAAUAAUUUUGUAUGUACAAUCAAAAUACUUUCCUAUAUUUUCUUUUCAUUUUUACUUUACUUAUUUUUAAAUCUGUUCAUUUUCUUUUAAACCUACCUCUUUUUACACCAAAAAUUGAUUACAAAAUGCUAGAAAUUCUCCCUCCUUUACCUGGGGAUUUUUAAAAAAUCGUGGACUGCCAUUCGGUAUAGAAACAAUUUUACUCAAUCUGCUUCCUGUCAUUUGAAUCAGAACAAAUCACAAUCUAUGUUUAUCAAUCAGUGAAUAAUGGUAGAAGUUUAUUUUAUACUUCUUGAGUCUCACAAACUUGUGCUUUUGCUUUAAUUUUAGGUUUCUUGUGGUAUAUAUUUGUGAAAGUUUCAGUUUAGUAUAGGCGUGACCAUUAUGCGGUGGCUGAGUCUGUCAAUUGAUGUUUUUCGUUUUGUUAUCUCCUUUAAUUUGUACUGCAAGGGUAUUCUAUAACUUAUCCUUUCAUGUGUUGAAUUCAACCUAAUUGUUUUUUCCAUUAUCUUCUUUAUCUCUGGCUAUCGAUGGGAUCCAAUCACCUUUCUUUCAAGUGUUUUAUCUCAAAUUUAGAUAGAAUUAAUCUAUUUGUACCAAAUAUCUUACCGAAUUGACACGUGGCGCCCCUAUUGGAGGGGCGCAUAUCCAUCCAAUAAGAACGCGACACUUAUCAAUUCGGUCAUUCAUUUGGUAAA